Molecule: ribosomal RNA, 365 nt
Filed under: uncultured Desulfocapsa sp.
Lineage: Bacteria; Pseudomonadati; Thermodesulfobacteriota; Desulfobulbia; Desulfobulbales; Desulfocapsaceae
Description: bacterial SSU rRNA
Rfam family: Bacterial small subunit ribosomal RNA
Source: RNAcentral
CGCAAGAGGAAUUCGGAGACAGGUGCUGCAUGGCUGUCGUCAGCUCGUGUCGUGAGAUGUUGGGUUAAGUCCCGCAACGAGCGCAACCCUUGUCUUUAGUUGCCAUCAUUAAGUUGGGCACUCUAAAGAGACUGCCGGUGUCAAACCGGAGGAAGGUGGGGAUGACGUCAAGUCCUCAUGGCCUUUAUGACCAGGGCUACACACGUACUACAAUGGCAGGUACAAAGGGCAGCCACUUAGCGAUAAGGCGCGAAUCCCGUAAAACCUGUCUCAGUCCGGAUUGGAGUCUGCAACUCGACUCCAUGAAGUUGGAAUCGCUAGUAAUCGCAGAUCAGCACGCUGCGGUGAAUACGUUCCCGGGCCUU